GAAAUGCGAUACGUAGUGUGAAUUGCAGAAUUCCGCGAAUCAUCGAGUCUUUGAACGCAAGUUGCGCCCGAGGCUUGACCAAGGGCAUCUCUGCCAGAGCGUCAC
This 105-nucleotide ribosomal RNA is filed under the name Weissia levieri. RNAcentral's name for it is "partial 5.8S ribosomal RNA". It matches the Rfam family "5.8S ribosomal RNA", at positions 50 to 154 of the family's 154-position model. Rfam says of the family: 5.8S ribosomal RNA (5.8S rRNA) is a component of the large subunit of the eukaryotic ribosome. It is transcribed by RNA polymerase I as part of the 45S precursor that also contains 18S and 28S rRNA. Lineage: Eukaryota; Viridiplantae; Streptophyta; Bryopsida; Pottiales; Pottiaceae. RNAcentral also lists the same sequence under 5 other names. The record is from RNAcentral.